UUAGUGGUUGAUAGCCUUGGUGUCUUUUCAUGUGCACCACUAGGAAUGCCUUCAUAAUUGCAGUUAAUGUUGCAUUUAGGAUAGUUAAAGGCUAGCUGCCUAUAUGUACACGAAAUUACAAUGGAAUAGAUAGACUUGAAUUUUCAGACAAAUCCUUGUGUAUUGUGAGAGUAUUCUCUAGGUUCUAGGUUGAACCCGUUCAAACUCAUUGGAGGCUGUCCAUCACCCUUGUGGCGUCUUCCUUUGGCUUAUCUUUCAUUGCUGGAAGUGGUGCAUUCCACCUAUCAUCAAGGGAACUUUAACCAGAACUGUGUCACUCUCACUCUGGUGUAACUCGAUCAGGGUAUUACAUCAAAGAUGAUCAAAUACCUUCCUAGACUCAACCAUAAACAAUGUCGACCAAGGAUCAACUAGUGUUGCUUUUAGGACUCCGUUGACACCUUAUGAGAAAUCAAAGUCUUUUAGUUCCAAGGGAAAUAUGGUCGUAAGGUUGAAACUUAAAGGAAUUGACGAAAGAGAACCACCAAGAAUGUUCGAGUUUAACAAUACAUAAUUUAAUCUUUUUAAAAGACCAUGA
This is a non-coding RNA of Glycine max (soybean), 577 nucleotides long. Lineage: Eukaryota; Viridiplantae; Streptophyta; Magnoliopsida; Fabales; Fabaceae. The record is from Rfam.